CGAGACUGCCGGUAUAAACCGGAGGAAGGUGGGAUGACGUCAAAUCAUCAUGCCCUUAUGACCUGGGCUACACACGUGCUACAAUGGUUGGUAACAACGAGUUGCGAGUCGGUGACGGCGAGCUAAUCUCUUAAAGACCAAUCUCAGUUCGGAUUGUAGGCUGCAACUCGCCUACAUGAAGUCGGAAUCGCUAGUAAUCGCGGAUCAGCACGCUGCGGUGAAUACGUUCCCGGGCCGUU
This 239-nucleotide ribosomal RNA is filed under the name uncultured Streptococcus sp. RNAcentral describes it as "partial 16S ribosomal RNA". It matches the Rfam family "Bacterial small subunit ribosomal RNA", at positions 1144 to 1382 of the family's 1533-position model. Lineage: Bacteria; Bacillati; Bacillota; Bacilli; Lactobacillales; Streptococcaceae. The record is from RNAcentral.